AACGUAGGGGACAAGCGUUAUCCGGAUUUACUGGGCGUAAAGCGCAUGUAGGUGGCGCGGAAAGUUGGACGUGAAAGCUCCCGGCUUAACUGGGAGAGGUCGUACAAAACUACCGUGCUUGAGGAUGGAAGAGGAGAGCGGAAUUCCCGGUGUAGUGGUGGAAUGCGUAGAUAUAGGAAGGAACACCAGUGGCGAAGGCGACCACCUGGACUGAUACUGACACUGAGGUGCGAAAGCGUGGGGAGCAAACAGG
Molecule: ribosomal RNA, 253 nt
Filed under: uncultured prokaryote
Description: partial 16S ribosomal RNA
Rfam family: Bacterial small subunit ribosomal RNA
Source: RNAcentral